ACACAGUUGAAAGUAAAAAAGUUCUAAGUGAUUUUAAGGGUUUUAUUUUGUUCUUUUUCUUUUCCUUAGGCAAGCUAUACACAUUUGCUAUUGAAAUUUACCACAUUAAUGCCUGCAGUAUUAGGAAACAUGGUGGGCCCUCAUGGGAUGGAGGAAAGUGCACUGGACUUGUAAUCAGAACAUCUGGCUUGGGCCCUGGCACUAUACCGCUUCUGUGUCUUAGACCAUAUAAGAAGUUUCCAGACUUAAACAACACCCAGCGAUGCUGAAUGAGGCCAGCCCACCCCAGUGUUUCAUUUACCCCAAGAUUUAUCUUCCUUCCAUUAAAACACUGAAGUUCUGUAGAAGAGACAAAGGUAAUUUCCCAUAAAAAGCAAUGGCGUUUCCUCUACUGGUGGGUGGCACAACUUCUGUUUCUUUCCUUUUCCUUUUCCUUUCUCC
This 441-nucleotide long non-coding RNA is filed under the name Mustela putorius furo (domestic ferret). RNAcentral's name for it is "lncRNA (ENSMPUG00000029941.1)". Lineage: Eukaryota; Metazoa; Chordata; Mammalia; Carnivora; Mustelidae. The record is from RNAcentral.